Non-coding RNA from Delphinapterus leucas (beluga whale), 660 nucleotides. The record is from RefSeq and is a predicted model, not a curated record. Lineage: Eukaryota; Metazoa; Chordata; Mammalia; Artiodactyla; Monodontidae.
GCAGCCCUAGGAAACUAAUACAAAUGGAAAUGAAGAGUCAGUUUAGCUCAACUCAAUAUGCCGUAGAGAGCGCCCAUAACAUCUCCACUGCCUCCAGCACCUCCUCCUUCUCCACCAGCGCCUCCUCCACAAUUGCUCCAGCACCACCACCACCACCUCAUGCUUCAGGCAGCCUUUGUGUUGCUGGGUUGACCGAGAGCUACUCAUCAAACGUCUCCUGGAAACAAGACUUGAGGAAAAAAGACAGAUGACUCAGUCUAUGUAUGUAGCAAGGUGCGGGACAUAAAAACUUAUAUGGACAUCCUUAAUAUAAGGCAAAACAGGAAAACAGAGAUUCUAAAGAUGCAAAAAUAAACUGUUACAUUAGUCCAGAUCUGGAUGACUACUUUUAGCCAUGGAUGUCUUCAGCCAUGAUGAUAAUGAAUUUGGGGUAGAUCUUCUUCUAUUAGACCAACUCUCCACCCUUUCUACUCUCCUUUCUGGACCCAAAGGCUGACCUGCAUGGAUUCCAUCAGUAUGCUUCCUGGCCUCUGGCUUCUGGCUGGGUUCAGCCAACGAGAAGACAUGGCUGACAGCAGGAAGGGAAGAGAAUGAAGUUCCAGGUAUUUGUUUCCCCACUUUGUCCUGUAGGACCAUCAUAAGCUGCAUCCCUCUGCUGAA